This 504-nucleotide ribosomal RNA is filed under the name Triticum aestivum (bread wheat). RNAcentral's name for it is "partial small subunit ribosomal RNA". Lineage: Eukaryota; Viridiplantae; Streptophyta; Magnoliopsida; Poales; Poaceae. The record is from RNAcentral.
AUGGCCGCGUCUUGGAGCUCGCCGCCGUGGGCUGCGCGCCCCUUCGAUGACAGCCUUCCUCGCCCACGUCCAGGUCCUCUCAAUCCUAAUUUGACGAAUGGGAGCGGAAGCUGCAAUGUCAAGAUCCGCAAGCAGGACAUGAACCACCUUGCCAUGAAUUUCCUCGUCACAUUAGGAUUCAUCGACGCCACCAACAGUUACUAUCAUUGGAAGUGCCAGACAGAUCUCGCCGUCAAGAGUAGCGCUGCAGGGUCAUUCACCUGGUUGGCCUCUUAUGUAACUGGUGUUGUUGUGUCCAUGUGGAAGGAGAGCCCGCUUCUCCGGGACGCCGGCGCUGACAUGCUCACCGUAGGUGACGUCAUGGCAGUGCUCGACUUCAGGGAGGAGGUCGGCAACCACCACUUCUUGGACCAACGUAAAAAUGUCAUAAAUACAGUCACAAACCCAUCAGAUCUAUGCUAUGGAUGCCGUGGUGAUUGCUGGAACGGAGGGUUCCUGGGAUGA